Long non-coding RNA from Capra hircus (goat), 207 nucleotides. RefSeq lists it as uncharacterized. Lineage: Eukaryota; Metazoa; Chordata; Mammalia; Artiodactyla; Bovidae. The transcript has 3 exons. The record is from RefSeq and is a predicted model, not a curated record.
GUGAGCAGUGAAAGCAUGGACUGACAGAUCGAACAAUUGGUGUGGUUACUGUUCAAUGAAACCCUCCUGCUGGGCUUGAGGUUCCUGCUGUGAAGGCUGAGCCACGCACCAACCACUUACUUCACCUGGGACACCUUCCUGAAAGAACACCAUUAAGUCUGAAGCGUCACCUGAUGGCAUCCUCAUGCAGCCGCACUCCUUCAGCAC